RNAcentral lists this ribosomal RNA (305 nucleotides) under uncultured bacterium. RNAcentral's name for it is "bacterial SSU rRNA". It matches the Rfam family "Bacterial small subunit ribosomal RNA", at positions 337 to 656 of the family's 1533-position model. The record is from RNAcentral.
CCCUACGGGGGGCAGCAGUGGGAGAUAUUGGACAAUGGGGGAAACCCUGAUCCAGCGACGCCGCGUGAGUGAAGAAGUAUUUCGGUAUGUAAAGCUCUGUCAGCAGGGAAGAAAGAAAUGACGGUACCUGUAGAAUAAGCUCCGGCUAACUACGUGCCAGCAGCCGCGGUAAUACGUAGGGAGCAAGCGUUAUCCGGAUUUAUUGGGUGUAAAGGGUGCGUAGACGGGUAUACAAGUUAGUAGUGAAAUCCCUCGGCUUAACUGAGGAACUGCUACUAAAACUAUAUAUCUUGAGUACUGGAGGG